GGACCUGACUGCUAUCGGAUUGAUACUAAGCCAUGCGAGUCAUUGUAGCAAUACAAGGCAUACGGCUCAGUAACGCGUAGUCAACCUAACCUAUGGACGGGAAUAACCUCGGGAAACUGAGAAUAAUGCCCGAUAGAACAUUAUGCCUGGAAUGGUUUAUGUUCCAAAUGAUUUAUCGCCGUAGGAUGGGACUGCGGCCUAUCAGUUUGUUGGUGAGGUAAUGGCCCACCAAGACUAUUACAGGUACGGGCUCUGAGAGGAGUAGCCCGGAGAUGGGUACUGAGACACGGACCCAGGCCCUAUGGGGCGCAGCAGGCGAGAAAACUUUGCAAUGUGCGAAAGCACGACAAGGUUAAUCCGAGUGGUUUCUGCUAAAGAAACCUUUUGUCAGUCCUAGAAACACUGAUGAAUAAGGGGUGGGCGAAGUUCUGGUGU
Molecule: ribosomal RNA, 435 nt
Filed under: uncultured archaeon
Lineage: Archaea
Description: bacterial SSU rRNA
Rfam family: Archaeal small subunit ribosomal RNA
Source: RNAcentral